RNAcentral lists this long non-coding RNA (405 nucleotides) under Oreochromis niloticus (Nile tilapia). Its description in RNAcentral is "lncRNA (ENSONIG00000040900.1)". Lineage: Eukaryota; Metazoa; Chordata; Actinopteri; Cichliformes; Cichlidae. The record is from RNAcentral.
AUGACUCUCAGGGGGUUAUCGAUGGAGGAGCUCCUUAAAAAGUUGAUGGAAGAAGGCAUUGAUGUGUCAGACGACGAGGCGCAAAGGUUUAGAGAUAACGAUGUAGAUGGAGAGACGGUAGACUGUGGACUCACUGAGACCAUGGUUGCAUAUCUUUUUGACAAGUCUUUCAAAAAGCAGCUGAAGUUCAGAGACUUCACAAACCGCUACAAGGAAGUCAUCAUCACUUUACAACCGGUCGACCCAUUUGAAGGUACAGUUGAAGGUCCAGUGUCCCAAGCAAACCAGAGUUCUAUACCUUCUUGCCUGCAGUCAUUUCCAUUCCAAAAUUCCCACAAGAUGUCCAGAGUCGCUUGGAUCUCAAAGAACCAGUCCAGAAAGAACAGAAGUACCGAAACAAAAUAA